UACAGAGGUCCCAAGCGUUGUUCGGAUUCACUGGGCGUAAAGGGUGCGUAGGUGGCCUGGAAAGUUUGAUGUGAAAGCUCGGAGCUUAACUCCGAAAUGGCAUUGAAUACUACUGGGCUUGAGGGUCGGAGGGGAGACUGGAAUUCUCGGUGUAGCAGUGAAAUGCGUAGAUAUCGGGAGGAACACCAGUGGCGAAGGCGGCUUCCUGGCCUGUUCUUGACGCUGAGGCGCGAAAGCUAGGGGAGCAAACGGG
RNAcentral lists this ribosomal RNA (253 nucleotides) under uncultured bacterium. RNAcentral's name for it is "partial 16S ribosomal RNA". It matches the Rfam family "Bacterial small subunit ribosomal RNA", at positions 524 to 776 of the family's 1533-position model. The record is from RNAcentral.